This 184-nucleotide ribosomal RNA is filed under the name uncultured bacterium. RNAcentral's name for it is "partial 16S ribosomal RNA". It matches the Rfam family "Bacterial small subunit ribosomal RNA", at positions 1317 to 1500 of the family's 1533-position model. The record is from RNAcentral.
UGCACGAAGUUGGAAUUGCUAGUAAUCGUGGAGCAGCAUGCCACGGUGAAUACGUUCCCGGGUCUUGUACACACCGCCCGUCACACCAUGGGAGCCGGUAAUACCCGAAGUCAGUAGUCUAACCGCAAGGAGGACGCUGCCGAAGGUAGGAUUGGCGACUGGGGUGAAGUCGUAACAAGGUACC